AGAGUUUGAUCCUGGCUCAGAUUGAACGCUGGCGGCAGGCCUAACACAUGCAAGUCGAGCGGCAGCGGGAAAGUAGCUUGCUACUUUUGCCGGCGAGCGGCGGACGGGUGAGUAAUGCCUGGGGAUCUGCCCAGUCGAGGGGGAUAACUACUGGAAACGGUAGCUAAUACCGCAUACGCCCUACGGGGGAAAGCAGGGGACCUUCGGGCCUUGCGCGAUUGGAUGAACCCAGGUGGGAUUAGCUAGUUGGUGAGGUAAUGGCUCACCAAGGCGACGAUCCCUAGCUGGUCUGAGAGGAUGAUCAGCCACACUGGAACUGAGACACGGUCCAGACUCCUACGGGAGGCAGCAGUGGGGAAUAUUGCACAAUGGGGGAAACCCUGAUGCAGCCAUGCCGCGUGUGUGAAGAAGGCCUUCGGGUUGUAAAGCACUUUCAGCGAGGAGGAAAGGUCAGUAGCUAAUAUCUGCUGGCUGUGACGUACUCGCAGAAGA
This 492-nucleotide ribosomal RNA is filed under the name Aeromonas sp. AKB-2008-4318A. RNAcentral's name for it is "bacterial SSU rRNA". It matches the Rfam family "Bacterial small subunit ribosomal RNA", at positions 8 to 488 of the family's 1533-position model. Lineage: Bacteria; Pseudomonadati; Pseudomonadota; Gammaproteobacteria; Aeromonadales; Aeromonadaceae. The record is from RNAcentral.